RNAcentral lists this ribosomal RNA (253 nucleotides) under uncultured bacterium. RNAcentral describes it as "partial 16S ribosomal RNA". It matches the Rfam family "Bacterial small subunit ribosomal RNA", at positions 524 to 776 of the family's 1533-position model. The record is from RNAcentral.
UACAGAGGUCCCAAGCGUUGUUCGGAUUCACUGGGCGUAAAGGGUGCGUAGGUGGUGAGGUAAGUCGGAUGUGAAAUCUCCGGGCUUAACCCGGAAACUGCAUUGGAAACUACCUUGCUAGAGGUUUUGAGGGGGGACUGGAAUUCUCGGUGUAGCAGUGAAAUGCGUAGAUAUCGAGAGGAACACCGGUGGCGAAGGCGAGUCCCUGGAAAACACCUGACACUGAGGCACGAAAGCUAGGGGAGCAAACAGG